This 793-nucleotide long non-coding RNA is filed under the name Sus scrofa (pig). RNAcentral describes it as "lncRNA (ENSSSCG00035038212.1, ENSSSCG00065004253.1)". The record is from RNAcentral. Lineage: Eukaryota; Metazoa; Chordata; Mammalia; Artiodactyla; Suidae.
GGUUCCUGGUCCCCGGGAGAAGCCAAGAAGGUCCUGAGUUCAAGAGAAACAGGUGUCUAAACAGAAGUAAAAUCCUGUGGAAGUUUAGGAUAAUUGAAUUACUCGCAAAUUGGAGUAUCCUGGAAAACUUCCUGGAGGAAGUGGCCUGUGCUUUGUAUCAGGAAAAAUAGAUGGAAAAGUGGUGAUGACAGAAAAUUGUCUGUUGCUUUUGGAAAAGAAAGAAAAAAAAAAGUGACGUUUCCCUGUGUUUGACAUCCUCUUCCUUAAAGGUAUCAGAAUGGUGCGUGGGUUUGGUUUGAAGCUAAAGAAAGGAGAAAGAGCCAGAGAAGAAGAAAAAAAGAUUCCCUGCAGCCUGCCAGGGACGUGGUAACUGCCCUGCCAAGAGUGAUCCUGGGAGAGCUAUUGAAAGAGCUCUGAGGCCUCCUUGGCAUAUGGAAGUUCCCAGGCUAGGGGUGGAAUCCGAGCCACAUCCGUGACCUACACCGCAGCUCACGACAACGCUGGAUCAUCAACCCACUGAGUGAGGCCAGAGAUCAAACCCGAGUUUUCCUGCACACCAGUUAGGUUUGUUACCACUGAGCCGCAACAGGAACUCCCAGGAGCUUUAUGAGUGAAUGAAUAAAUGCAUCAUUCCACCCCCACCUCACCGCCGCCACCCCGGGGGAGAGAGUCUACAGCUUUUAGCAGAAUCUCAAAGUUUUUUGUAACGCAGGAAGGUUGAGGAAGCUGAUCCAGGCAAUCUCGAUGUAUAAGUGGGUACUCUAAGGCCCAGAGAGGGCCAGGGACUGGUUCA